Molecule: transfer RNA, 74 nt
Filed under: Alphaproteobacteria bacterium
Lineage: Bacteria; Pseudomonadati; Pseudomonadota; Alphaproteobacteria
Also listed under: 1 other name
Description: tRNA-Cys
Rfam family: tRNA
About the family: Transfer RNA (tRNA) molecules are approximately 80 nucleotides in length. Their secondary structure includes four short double-helical elements and three loops (D, anti-codon, and T loops).
Source: RNAcentral
GGCCACGUGGCGGAGUGGUUACGCAGAGGCCUGCAAAGCCUUGGACAUCAGUUCGAAUCUGAUCGUGGCCUCCA